AGAGUUUGAUCCUGGCUCAGGAUAAACGCUGGCGGCGUGCCUAACACAUGCAAGUCGAACGGACAUUAUGAGAAUUGAAGCUUCGGCCUAAAUUUUCUUAAUUGUUAGUGGCAAACGGGUGAGUAAUACAUAAGUAAUUUGCCCUUAAGUCUGGGAUAACUCUUCGAAAGGAGAGCUAAUACCGGAUAUUUUCUUUUGUUCGCAUGAAUAUUAGAGGUAAGGUUUACUGCUUAAGGAGAAGCUUAUGUCUGAUUAACUAGUUGGUGGGGUAAUGGCCUACCAAGGUUACGAUCAGUAGCUGGUCUGAGAGGAUGGUCAGCCACACUGGGACUGAGACACGGCCCAGACUCCUACGGGAGGCAGCAGUGGGGAAUUUUGCGCAAUGGGGGAAACCCUGACGCAGCAACGCCGCGUGAGCGACGAAGUCUUUCGGGAUGUAAAGCUCUGUCGAGAGAGAAGAUAAUGACGGUAUCUCUAAAGGAAGCCCCGGCUAACUACGUGCCAGCAGCCGCGGUAAUACGUAGGGGGCGAGCGUUAUCCGGAUUUAUUGGGCAUAAAGCGCGCGCAGGCUGUUUUUUAAGUCGGGUGUUAAAUACCUCAGCUCAACUGGGGUCUGCAUUCGAAACUGAAAAACUAGAGAUCAGGAGAGGGAAGCGGAACUUACGGUGUAGCGGUGAAAUGCGUAGAUAUCGUAAGGAACACCAGUUGCGAAGGCGGCUUCCUGGACUGAAUCUGACGCUGAGGCGCGAAAGCGUGGGGAGCGAACGGGAUUAGAUACCCCGGUAGUCCACGCCGUAAACUGUGUUCACUAGGUGUUGGAGGUAUCGACCCCUUCAGUGCCACAGAUAAUUCGUUAAGUGAACCGCCUGGGGAGUACGACCGCAAGGUUAAAACUCAAAGGAAUUGACGGGGGCCCGCACAAGCAGUGGAGCAUGUGGUUUAAUUCGACGAUACGCGAAAUACCUUACCAAGGUUUGACAUCUACAGAAUUCUUUGGAAACAGAGAAGUGCCUGCGAAGGAACUGUAAGACAGGUGGUGCAUGGUUGUCGUCAGCUCGUGUCGUGAGAUGUUGGGUUAAGUCCCGCAACGAGCGCAACCCCCGUUCUGUGUUGCCAGCAUGUAAUGAUGGGAACUCACAGAAUACUGCCUGUGGAAAGCAGGAGGAAGGUGGGGAUGACGUCAAAUCAUCAUGCCCCUUACAUCUUGGGCUACACACAUGCUACAAUGCCUGGUACAAAGAGUUGCGAAGCCGCAAGGUAGUGCUAAUCUCAAAAAGCCAGGCUCAGUUCGGAUUGUAGUCUGCAACUCGACUACAUGAAGUUGGAAUUGCUAGUAAACGCAGAUCAGCACGCUGCGUUGAAUACGUUCCCGGGCCUUGUACACACCGCCCGUCACACCAUGAAAGUUAGGAACACCCGAAGCCGAUAUACUAACC
This 1436-nucleotide ribosomal RNA is filed under the name metagenome. RNAcentral's name for it is "bacterial SSU rRNA". It matches the Rfam family "Bacterial small subunit ribosomal RNA". The record is from RNAcentral.